AAGAAAGCGUGAUGGUGUGUUCUAAAGCGUAUCAUACCUUUCAAUAGUGUCUCUUGUUUCUUUACAACCACAAAAAAGAAAUAGAAAAUUAUAUAUUUAAAGCAACAAAGGGAAUGACGAGAUAUGGAUGGAACAAUGCAGGUUAUAAAGUUGUAUAUAUGUACGCACACAUAUCUGUGAUACGUAUCAAGAAAUUGUCGUGAAAGCACGCAUAUGAAGUAGCUAUUUGCUAGGUGAGAUUACCUUUUUCAUGAUUUUCCUAUCUUAUUAAUAUAUAUAGUUCUCUUUGUUAGAUCCUGAUGCAUUUUUUAAACCCUUAUUUGAUGCUGCUGGUGUAGAAAAUAAAACUGAUCUAGAGUGUGUCAUUAUCAAUUCACAUUAUGAUCUCCACUACCCUUUGCAGUCAGUUGUAGAAAAAUUAGGACCUUGGCAUACACAUGCGCGCCAACAACUUGUUUAUAUACAAUAUGUAGUAUUCUAAUUAAAUUUUAAAUGGUUAGAAAAUGUUCAUAUAUAUAUAUAUAUAUAUAUAUAGAUAUAUAUAUAUAUAUAUAUAUAUAUAUAUAUAUAUAUUAAUCNNNNNNNNNNNNNNNNNNNNNNNNNNNNNNNNNNNNNNNNNNNNNNNNNNNNNNNNNNNNNNNNNNNNNNNNNNNNNNNNNNNNNNNNNNNNNNNNNNNNAUUAUAUUUAUAAUUUAAUUGAUGAAAUACGUACACUGAUUAUCUAAAAGAUUUUAAUUUGUCAUAUAAUUCCUUUAAAAAAGUUAUAUAUAUAUAUAUAUAUAUAUAUAUAUAUAUAUAUAUAUAUAUAUAUAUAUAUAUAUAUAUAUAUAUAUAUAUAUAUAUAUAUAUAUAUAUAUAUAUAUAUAUAUAUAUAUAAAAAUAUAUAUAUUAAUAAAUUUUUUUUUUAUUUUUUAUUUAAAAUAUUUUUUAUAUAAUUAUAUGCGGACUUUGAUAUUAGUUUCUAUAUAUAUAUAUAUAUUUAUAUAUUAAGGGUGUGUUUCAUAAAAUAAAAGAAUAUCUCUUUAUAUAAAGAGUUUGUUACUCACUAAAUAGCGUGUGUAUAAAUUUGCUAUAUAUAAGAGAUAUAAAUAAAAAAAGGGGGGGGGUGUCUAUAUAUGUGUAAAAAUAUAUAUAUAUAUAUAUAUAUAUAUAUAUAUAUAUAUAUAUAUAUAUAUAUAUAUAUAUAUAUAUAUAUAUAUAUAUAUAUAUAUAUAUAUAUAUAUAUAUAUAUAUAUAUAUAUAUAUAAUAUGACUAUCUAAACCUUUGUCAAUUUUAUUGGUAAGCAAGUUGAUAUUUUGGAGAAUUAAGUGAUUGUAUAUCAAUUUUUUAAAAUUGGUAGUCAAUCCUUUUAUUUUUAUAUUUACAAUAUUAACAAUUAAAUUACAUGAUUUUGAUAUAUGUGUAACAAUAUUCAUAAAUAUAUUAGUCUAAUAUCAGUAAUUGUCAAAAAUAAUUUACUUUCCGAUGCUUUUAAAUUGCUUUUCAAUUUCACAUGUGAAUGAAGUUAUUGAAAAUAACAUUCUUAAUGAAAAUAAGUUCUUUUAAUUACAUAAUCAAUUUUUUUUUCAUAUUCUAUUUAUUCUUUAAGGGUUUCCUUCAUUGUCUUCAAGUAAUUACAUCAAAAUUUCAUUUUCAUAACUUUAUCAAAUUUUAUAUUGACAACAUGUGACUAGGGUUUAAGAUUUUAUUUAUGAUAAAGAAGUAUCACUUUAACGUGAAAACAAUACAAUUGUAAUUAAGACAGUAUGAGAUUGAAAGCUGAGUAGUAAAAAUUAGUAUAAAAAAAAGAAGACAUAUUGUAGAAAAAAUAGAGAAAUAUUAAACAGUGAAACGGAAACAUGUUGAAAAGAGUGUUUUUAAAUUCUAGAAACAAAGAAUUUGCGUGACGAAUAACUAGUUGAACCAAUUUAAUUAGUUAUGAUAAUAGAUCUUAUUUUAUUAAUUAAAUUAUAAUUGUACUUGGCUUAUCUUAAAUACUAUCUUUUAUAUUUAUUUUUAAACAAUUCAUUUACAUCAAGAUUGUAAUAUAUGAUUUCUAAAAAAAAAAAGAUUGUAAUAUGAUUGACUCUGCAUUAUAUUCUCGAAGUAAAUUUACCAAACAGUUUGAUUUUCUUUUUUAUCUCUAAAGUCUAAACUUGUUUUCGAAUUAAUACUUACCAAAUAUGUUUUAUUCUUUUUUUUUUCUUAAAUAGGGAUCUUCUUUCUUAUUAUUUAGUGGGUUUCAUUAUCAAACUAAUGUGAGCCACAUAAAAGAUUUAAACCAGUGAGAGAGAAUACUAAUGAAAAAGAGUAUUAAAUGUGUGUCACUAAUUAUUCUUUUAGCUAGAAUAGUUUUAAAAAAUAAAAGAUCGAAACAUAAUCAAACAGGCCUAUACUAUAAGUUUCGAAGACUAAUAAAUCAAGUUUGAAGUAAUAGAUAUAAAAAGACCUCGACCUAUAGAUCUGUGAGACUAUCUACUUCUAAUUGUGAUGACUUCUGUGUGUCUUCUGCAAAGGGCGAGAACUAUGAUCACCCGAGACAUUUUGGUUUUCUUUUCUUUGUUUUCAAUGAGAUCUUGGACACAUGCAAUGCACGGGUAAUUUUUUUUAGUUAUUAUAUAAAAAUUAAUUUGUAAUAAUAUAAGAGUCUAAUAUUUUUAUACUGAUAGUAUAAAGUCAUUUAAUUAUAAAUUAUUUAAGAUAAUUAUUUUAAAAUUAAUAAAUUUAUUAUAAAUAAUAGAUUUUGAUUAGAAAAUUGUAUAACACUCUUUACAUUAUUAAUAUAUAAUUCUUUUUCUCAUAAUAUAAAUGACAAAAUAAGUAUAGAUAUAAAAAAAAUCAUGUGUUUAGAAAGACUCUCUUUCAAGUUUUUUUUUUUUUUUACAAACUUUGAUAUUUUUUGUGUCAUUUGAUCUUUAUUAAUAUAUUUCUUUUACCUAUAAAAAGUUGUAAAAAAAAUUGAUACAAUUUCUUUAUAUUUUAUACAUAUGAUAAAGAACUUGAACCUAAUAUACGUACUGCUUGAAUAUAUCAUGGAUGCAUUCGUUGACGGUUGACAUAUUACAUGUAUCAGUCCAUCAAAAACUUACAACACAUUCACAUAUUAAUUGCAUGUAUUAGUCUAUCAUUUUCUUAUAUAUAAUACACUAAUUUAAUUAACUGAUAAAUAUAUAUUUCAGAUAACAAACAGAUUCAUUACACAUGAUAUGAUAUAUAUAGAGUUUAUUAGUAAUUUAUGGAUGGGUGGAAGCUGUUAGAGUGAUAUUGGCAGAGGCAGAACAUCAUCUGAAGAUUGAAGGGAAAUGAAUCCAAUUAAGUCACUGGGGGAACUCCGGUAGAAGUUGCACCACGAAGAGUGGAAGGUGGGCCACUCAGCUGAGCCGGAAUGAAAUCACCGACCAUAUCUAUUUUCAAUUAUUCAUAUUCAUGCAUACCGUGCUUACAAAGCAGGACCAUCUAGUACGGACCACACAUCAAAGGUCUUGUUGAUAUUUAACACUCACCGUUCUCCUUGUAAUAUGCAUGUUUAAUCUCAUGUUAGAGUUUUUACUAUACUAGAUAUGAUUUUUGGUAAAAUUUUACAGGUUUGGUUCAUUGACG
Molecule: long non-coding RNA, 3580 nt
Filed under: Glycine max (soybean)
Lineage: Eukaryota; Viridiplantae; Streptophyta; Magnoliopsida; Fabales; Fabaceae
Description: long non-coding RNA (GMAX_LNC000362)
Source: RNAcentral